UACGUAGGGCGCAAGCGUUGUCCGGAAUUAUUGGGCGUAAAGAGCUCGUAGGCGGUUUGUCGCGUCUGCUGUGAAAACCUAAGGCUCAACCUUGGGCUUGCAGUGGGUACGGCAGACUAGAGUGCGGUAGGGUGACUGGAAUUCCUGGUGUAGCGGUGGAAUGCGCAGAUAUCAGGAGGAACACCGAUGGCGAAGGCAGAUCUCUGGCCGUAACUGACGC
Molecule: ribosomal RNA, 220 nt
Filed under: uncultured bacterium
Lineage: Bacteria
Description: partial 16S ribosomal RNA
Rfam family: Bacterial small subunit ribosomal RNA
Source: RNAcentral